AAAAUCAGUUGAAUGAAAACACACCGUGUGCAAUGUUUAGCUCGUUUUUAACACAAUCCAGUGCUCUGUGCAAUGGAAAGAAAGCGAUGCACUGCAUUUGCCAGCUGUGAGUUUGAGUGUUCUCAGGCAGCUUAAUCAUCUCCUUCUUCUCGUCAUCCUACAGUUUCCACACAGUUCAGAGACGCCAACGGACGACGCUCCCUGUGUUAUGCAGGUUGCUUGGAAACCGGUGCAUUGGGAGCAUGUAGUGCAACACACAGAGGCACAGGAUGCAGUACGUACAGAAAAACACACGCUCAAGGCCCACGUGUGGACAGCAUCCUCCAGACGCUCAUGAAGAUGUCCCACGGACUUCUGCUGGAUUUUACUGUGCCGUCUGAUGGUGACAAGAGAUGUUUCAAUGAGUCAAUGAGUUCACACAGCCCUUCGGUCGCGGCGUCCCGUGGAUGGAUCAGAGAUGUCAUCUGGUUGUCUCAAUUUGUGGAGUUUGGACUUUGUCCGGCCUCACCCCCUCCAGCUCAGAGGAUAAAGCCGGAUCAACAUCACAUCCCUUCUGGUAUCCAUGGGCUCGAGAAGGAUACAGACACUUCCUUUUUGCUCUUCUGAAGUUAGCUAAAGAUCUGGCGCCCCAGUCCAGGAUUAACACAGCAGCCUCUUUUCAGUCGAACGACUGGUUAAACUCUAUGAAAUCAGGCAAUGAGAUUACAAGGCUUGACUUUCCCAAAAGCGCUUACACAGUCUGCUUUAGAUUCCCACCUCUGUCCUUUUGUCCCAGACGGCCUCGGCAGUCACCGGUGGCCUCGGCUCUUCACCAAACCAGACUCUCACUGUUAAACAGCGUCCUAACAUAGAACAUGUGUUCCUGUGUUGACAACUGCACUUGAUGGAGGCGGAGGCUUGUGGGAACGACAACGUGAGACGGGGGAAUUGAAGUCUCGCAGAUCUGUCACAAAACCAGGGGCUUUGUUUGGGAUUUGGAUCCGCUGUUCAGAGAUCAUCGCUUGGCACGGAGGGUCUGCCGCGCUCAUCAGCUGUUGAUUAUUGACAGUGUCUCGAGGUGUCAUCAAAAUGAGAGACAUCUGUGUAGAGUAGAUGAGUGGUUUGAUGCGUGUGGACAUGCAUGAAUAUUAAUGCACGGUCAUAAACAAUGAUAUGGGUGAGAGAGAAACAUCAUGAAACAAGGAAAAAGGAGACGGUCUGUUUAGCUCGUCUCUGGUUUUGGCCUAGAGUCGCCACUGUCGACUGUUCAACUUUGGCUUGCUUCGCUGCGGAGACUUGGGACGUUUAAUAUCAAACUGGAAAGAUGCAUCUGCAUUUAAUUCCCAUUUAUGUUCUUUCUUAAAGAGACAGUUCACCCAAAUUCAGCCAUUAACUCUGUUUCUUUCUCCUGUUGAACACAGAAGAUGAUAAUUCAAAGAAUGUUGGUAACCAAAUAGUUGCCGGUAGCCAUUGACUUUCACAGAGGAAAAACAAUACUAUAGACGUCAUUGGCUACCAUCAACUAUAUGACACCAGAUGCUGGUAAAUGAUGAGAACUGUCACUUUAAAUGGUCUUUUUUGAGUUGCGAAUGUAGUGUAUUUAAAGCUCGGGAUAUCCUCAUUAUGGAUUCAGGCCAUGUUUUUGACUUUCCUGAAACAGUGACUCCAGCUCAUGUCCCAUAAUUCCAAGUUUGUUCCUUUGUGUGUUAGUCCCAAAUAAAUGUCAAAAUCUCUCAAUUCAUAUGACAUCCAGGAGACCAUUAAAUGUGUUGAAUUGAAACGCAGCUGAGGCAACGUGUGUCACGCAGAGUUCAGAUCUGCUGGAGCCUGAGACUGUUAGAGCAACUCGGAUUAGUGAUUCGGAGAGGAUGGAAUGAAAUAACUUCAUCACUUUAGUCCAUAUGAUAGAGACAGUUCCUGUUGCUCAAACAGUUAAGGAUGGUGCUAUAACAACACCAAGGCCAUGGGUUUGAUUCCCAGGGAAUGCAUGAACUGAUCAAAUGUAUACUUUGCAUGCAAUAU
Molecule: long non-coding RNA, 2001 nt
Organism: Carassius auratus (goldfish)
Lineage: Eukaryota; Metazoa; Chordata; Actinopteri; Cypriniformes; Cyprinidae
Exons: 3
Source: RefSeq, a predicted model, not a curated record